RNAcentral lists this ribosomal RNA (305 nucleotides) under uncultured bacterium. Its description in RNAcentral is "bacterial SSU rRNA". It matches the Rfam family "Bacterial small subunit ribosomal RNA", at positions 336 to 658 of the family's 1533-position model. The record is from RNAcentral.
UUCCUACGGGGGGCAGCAGUAGGGAAUUUUCGGCAAUGGGGGGAACCCUGACCGAGCAACGCCGCGUGAGUGAAGAAGUCAUUCGUGAUGUAAAGCUCUAUCAGCAGGGAAGAAAAUGACGGUACCUGAGUAAGAAGCCCCGGCUAACUACGUGCCAGCAGCCGCGGUAAUACGUAGGGGGCAAGCGUUAUCCGGAUUUACUGGGUGUAAAGGGAGCGUAGACGGCCAGACAAGUCUGAAGUGAAAAUCCAGCGCUUAACGUUGGAAGUGCUUUGGAAACUGCCGGGCUAGAGUGCAGGAGGGGC